CAACCCUUAAGCUCAGCUUAGUGUUGGGAAUCUACCGUGAGUGGUGCUACCCUGUAGUUACCCUGUAGUUCCUCAAAUCCAACGGCGGAGUCAUAGUCAUCUCUGAGCGCAGUAAUUUUUAUCACGCUUUUGAAGAUGCUAUAACCUUAGCCGCUAAACCCCCAAUUUUUAAU
This 173-nucleotide unclassified non-coding RNA is filed under the name uncultured Xylariales. RNAcentral describes it as "sequence contains ITS2". The record is from RNAcentral. Lineage: Eukaryota; Fungi; Ascomycota; Sordariomycetes; Xylariales.